Molecule: non-coding RNA, 2956 nt
Organism: Lolium perenne
Lineage: Eukaryota; Viridiplantae; Streptophyta; Magnoliopsida; Poales; Poaceae
Source: RefSeq, a predicted model, not a curated record
CGGUAUGAUUGCUGCACCCUCAUGGAGCUCUCACAGCGCUUUGGAUUUUCGGCCGUCCGAUCGAGCUGACGUGGCGCGAUCUCGGCCGUCGUUCCGUCCAGGGCGCUGAGGCCCUCCCGCAGACCCACUUUUUAUCCAUGGGUCGCGAAAAGCCCCGCUCGGCCCGAUCUCUCGCUAGCCCUCCACCAAUCGCCACGCCCCCAAUCGCUCCCCAAUCCCCACUCCUCUGCCCGUCUCCUCCCCUUCCUCUCCCCUCGCGCCCGCAUCCCCGCCGCCGCACGCCUCUCUCCCUCUCCUCCUCUCCCCUCGCCCGUCCUCCUCCUCUCUCCCAUCGCCACCAUAUCUCGUCCCUACAACUCUCCAUUGCGCCCGGGGCCGGCGAGGAUCUUCUCCUGCACCGAGAAGCAGAAGGGGCGAGUUCGUGGGAGGAACGCCGCCGUCUUCAGCGCAAGCCGUCAAAGAGAGGAGGAGGAGGUGCUGUGGCAGCGCCUGGACUCGCUGGAGGCCGCCAGAGAUCGAGGCGCCGCAAAGGAGAUCGAGGUCGUCGACGACGCAGGUCAAGUGCGAGGAGUGACCCGGUGUGGAAACCCUAGCCGCCAUGGUCUCGUGCCCCCUCGAGCUCGUGCUGAUUCACGUCCUACGGCCCCUCGUCGAGCUUGUUGUCGUCUUGCGAGCCCAGGUUGCUGCUGAAUUGGUUCAGAAUCAAUUACAUACGUAUGCUUCCACAUGAUUGAUGAUGUGCCGACAGGAGCGGUGUUAAAUUUUUUUAACGGCUCAGAAAGUUGAUGGUGGAAGGGCUGCUUGAAUCAGAUGCUAGAUAGUUGCAGUCCUCUAAGGAAAACGGUUCCUACUGUAAAAUGAAAUUCUUGAGCGAUAGCUUGUAGUCGUGUUUGCUGUUAUUCCUUUACUGUGUGCGGGAGGUGCUGCAAUAUAUCAAGGUGCAGCUGUUCCAUGAUCCCCAGUUCGACGGCCAGCUUGAAUAGCCGGCCCAGCACUAUGCACUGUGUGUACAAGCAAGGUAUGGAUUGAAGCAAAAGUCCUUAAACAAGCAACAAGUGAUGACAUGAUCUCAAUUUGCACUACAGGCUGGUCACCUUCUCCAAAUUCUUCAAAUGUUGUGCGCUUAAGUGAAAAUGAGGUGGGAAUAUCUCGACAAGCCAUUCUGAUGUGUAUUCCAUUGGUACUUUGUUCUAUGCAUCUCCACCAAAUAACUCUAUUUAGUUGUGUCCAGCUAUUGUAGGUGAUAUCUAAUAUUGCUCUUCGCCAUUCCGCUCUACAUAAUUAUAUAUCAUGAAACACUUCAAGAGUGCUGGAAUCAGCCUUUGGGCUUAUUUUGUCCUCCAAAAGAUAUAUGAAGCAAUCAAGUAUUUUCCUGGGAGAGGUGGCAACAUCCGUGUGUUCGAUCUGUUGGCAUGGAGUGUGGCACCUAGGCGGCUAGGCCCUGGAUAUCAAUGGCGACGAGGAGCAGGUGUUGGCCAUCGCUUGUCUGGUAGUGAGACACAUGCGACUGGUACAAAUGUAAAGGCCUCCUUCCUCGCUCUGCAUUCAUGUUGGUUUUUCUUCCCGAAUCAUUUUCCUAUCAAUGUUAUUUUGGCACCACCAAAUUGCUCACCUAGCAUUUUCGAUGAAGUUCUAAAUGUGUUUUACCUUGUGGGUACAGGGAUAUUGAACCCGCUAACUAGAAGCAUUUGGGUAGGUUGGUGCCUAAGGACCCUGUUGAACACAAAAGUAUCCAAAGAUAAUUAGAUCAUGGAAGACACUAAUAUCCUGGUCCUGGAGAUUCUCUUCAUUUGAUGGAUAAGCGCUGAUGAGAUGACACACAUCUAGGAGGAUGCUAAGCAAUGUGGUGAGGAACGGUGGUUGACUGGUUGCUCAGCAUUGGUAGUAGUGUGCCCUCGAAGUUCGACAGCGGGUGUCACUGAUGUGGUAAUGAAGAGUGGAUAGGGAAGAGAAGAGGGCGGCUAUGAGCUCAUGUUUUUUAAUCUUCAUCUAAGAUGAAAUCAUUGUUCUAUUGGGAAAGGAUUAUUUCUACUUCACUGGUUAGGGUCAAGCCAUCUUCGAAGAUGGCUCCAAGGUCAUACGAGCUCCAUUCGGGCCGCUGCUGAGCAGCUGAGACCUCUUCAUUGUGGGCCCGGUGGUUGGCCAGGCUCCGCCUUCUCCAUCCUUGCUUGACGACCUCGUCCUGAGCACAGCGGAGAACAGGUCGCCGGGAUGGAUAUUGCAGCGGCUCGUCGUCUUCUCCCGCAGCUAGCCUUGUCCCUUUGCCUCCCCCUUUGGUUUGAUUAACUAAACGAUAGGUGCACCUACACUUGAUCUCAGUUCGCACAGGUUUAUUGGACACGAACCCAUACUUUCUAAUCUGAAUAAGGUGGUAGAGCUUGUUUUGCAGCCAAAUAUUUAUUUCUGCAUAAAUUUUGUUUAGGUCAUUGCAGUUGUUCAUGGUCUACGAAGCAAGAUUUUUUUCAUUGUGCAAUGACUGUUCUGAUUCAGCCCAACAAUUCAGCCAUGUGAUCUUGGUUUACAGUGUUAAGAAUUAUUCAGCAUGCUCUAAAUUUUGGCGCGCUUCAUCAUUUUGAAUUAUUUACUGAAAAUGAGCAAAUGAGUCUGUGCACAAAACAAAAUACUAAUGUGUAUUCAUGGUAGCUUUGCAGGACAAUCCUAGGGGAAGAGAUCCUGAAGAUCCAUGUCAAUCCGGGAUGGAAGAAGGGCAUGAAGAUGAACGAGCAUCGACACACAAUCACUGCGGACCUGGUGUUCAGUGUUCACACAGGAUGGCAAUGGAAUGGUGGUGAUAUAAGAGGUGCUCCUCACAUGCCCUAUUAGUACACACUAUAGACAUUGGACAUGUGCAACCUGACGGUACCUGAUGCCUAUCGGAUAAUUAUUCACUCUUUACUUAAUGCUAAUUAUCAUCGAUGUUUCCAAUUGUAGUAUAUAAAAUAAACAUUGACACAAA